AGAGUUUGAUCCUGGCUCAGGACGAACGCUGGCGGCGUGCCUAAUACAUGCAAGUCGAACGAACGGAGGAAGAGCUUGCUCUUCCAAUGUUAGUGGCGGACGGGUGAGUAACACGUGGGCAACCUGCCUGUAAGUUGGGGAUAACUCCGGGAAACCGGGGCUAAUACCGAAUGAUAAAGUGUGGCGCAUGCCACGCUUUUGAAAGAUGGUUUCGGCUAUCGCUUACAGAUGGGCCCGCGGUGCAUUAGCUAGUUGGUAGGGUAAUGGCCUACCAAGGCAACGAUGCAUAGCCGACCUGAGAGGGUGAUCGGCCACACUGGGACUGAGACACGGCCCAGACUCCUACGGGAGGCAGCAGUAGGGAAUCUUCCGCAAUGGACGAAAGUCUGACGGAGCAACGCCGCGUGUAUGAAGAAGGUUUUCGGAUCGGAAAGAAGUGUUGGUAGAGCAAAACAAGGAUAAGAGUAACUGCUUGUCCCUUGACGGUAUCUAACCAGAAAGCCACGGCUAACUACGUGCCAGCAACCGCGUUAAUACGUAGGAGGCAAACGUUGUAAGGAUUUAUUGGGUGAGAAGCGCGCGCAGGCGGUCUUUUAAGUCUGAUGUGCAAGCCCCCGGCUUAACCGGGGAGGGUCAUUGGAAACUGGAGGUCUGGAGGGCAGAAGAGGAGAGGGGAAUUCCACGUGUAGCGGGGAAAUGCGGAGAUAUGUGGGGGACCCCCAGUGGCGAAGGCGACUCUCUGGUUUGUAACUGACGCUGAGGCGCGAAAGCGUGGGGAGCAAACAGGAUUGGAUCCCCUGGUAGUCCACGCCGUAAACGAUGAGUGCU
Molecule: ribosomal RNA, 828 nt
Filed under: Listeria monocytogenes
Lineage: Bacteria; Bacillati; Bacillota; Bacilli; Caryophanales; Listeriaceae
Description: bacterial SSU rRNA
Rfam family: Bacterial small subunit ribosomal RNA
Source: RNAcentral